GCCUGGGUGGCUCAGUUGGUUAAGCGUCUGACUUCGGCUCAGGUCACGAUCGCUUGGUUUGUGGGUUUGAGCCCCAUGUCGGGCU
RNAcentral lists this transfer RNA (85 nucleotides) under Felis catus (domestic cat). It matches the Rfam family "tRNA". Rfam says of the family: Transfer RNA (tRNA) molecules are approximately 80 nucleotides in length. Their secondary structure includes four short double-helical elements and three loops (D, anti-codon, and T loops). Lineage: Eukaryota; Metazoa; Chordata; Mammalia; Carnivora; Felidae. The record is from Rfam by way of RNAcentral.